GGAGUUACAGGCAGUUGAGUGCCACUCAGUGCGGGUGCCAAGAAGCGAACUUGGGUCUUCUUCAAGAACAAUCAUCCCACCUUGCAGGCCAAGAUGUUCUGUCAGCAUAGACAUGGAUAGCAUGUAGGUGCUUGCUGGCAGUUCACCAUCGAUGGAAAAUAUUCUUCUUCUACCCAAUGAACUUGACCUGGACAGUGAGUCAUCCUGAAGCUACAGGUACCAUGAAGGAGUGGGAGAAGGACAAGGGACUCGUUAAGGACCUCAAGAAGGUGUCCAUAGACGAUUGCGGUCACUGGCUGGAGGAACUUUUUAAAGUACUGGAAACCAGUGCAAGGUCCCAAAACACCACUUCUAAAGCAUACAUUAUGUUCUCCUGGUAAAAUUAGUUGCCAUCAAUUGUGCCAAUUUCCAGAAAGUUCUGACUGCGGUAAAUAUGUCAGAUCCAUGGAAGAUGCAUGGAUAUUUGCUUCUCUUGCUAGUGAAAUAACUCAACAUGGACACAGUCCCUACAACUGCUAUUCAUCUCUCUACCCAGGACCUGGUAAAAUGGUUGUCACAUAUGUGUCAUGUGGUCUACCCAGGGAGAUCAGGUGCUAAUGAAGGUGCAUUGUUGUUUAUUCAGGAUUUUUGCUGUUUGUUUUAGGAUCAACAUCAAUGGCUCUAGAUGUCACCUGGCGUGUGCAUCUGUACACUACCCAACUUUCAUCACAGAAUUUAUUUAUCAUUAUAGUAAUCAUUUUAAUCAUAAUUGCUUUCCUUGUUGUGAUCCUUGUGAGGAAAUUCUGCCCAGCUGAAGAUGCACCUGGAGGCACUGCAGCAAUGGCUGUUACAGAGAACCGAGUUCAAUUCUAGCACCCACAUUGGCUGGCUCACAACCACUUGUGACUCCAGCUACAGGAGCAUCUAAUGCCUCAGGCCUCUGAGGUCACCUGCACACACGUUCACAUACCACUGCACAGACAUGCACACAUACACAUA
This is a long non-coding RNA of Nannospalax galili (Upper Galilee mountains blind mole rat), 978 nucleotides long. RefSeq lists it as uncharacterized. The transcript has 4 exons. Lineage: Eukaryota; Metazoa; Chordata; Mammalia; Rodentia; Spalacidae. The record is from RefSeq and is a predicted model, not a curated record.